Non-coding RNA from Kogia breviceps (pygmy sperm whale), 1225 nucleotides. The record is from RefSeq and is a predicted model, not a curated record. Lineage: Eukaryota; Metazoa; Chordata; Mammalia; Artiodactyla; Physeteridae.
AAAGAAAAAGAAAAAGAAAAAAAAAAAGAAUAAUCCUAAGGACAAAGAAAAAACCCAACUGAAAAAUGGGCAAGAGACCUAAGUAGACAUUUCUCCAAAGAAGACAUACAGAUGGCCAACAGGCACAUGAAAAGAUGCUCAACAUUGCUAAUUAUUAGAGGAAUGUGAAUCAAAACUACAAUGAGGUGACUUCCCUGGUGGCGCAGUGGUUAAGAAUCUGCCUGCCAAUUCAGGGACAUGGGUUUGAGCCCGGGUCAGGGAAGAUCCCACAUGCCGUGGAGCAACUAAGCCCGUGUGCCACAACUACUGAGCCUGCACUCUGGAGCCUGCGAGCCACAACUGCUGAGCUUAGAAGAUUUCAUUUGGAUUUCCCCAGGCCCUGAGCACACAUUCCUUUCACGGGUCUUUGGGGAAGGAAUCUUAUUUUGAACAUCUUUUUAUUCCCCAAAACACCUGACACGGUGCUUAUCCACUUCAGUAAAGCGUCUGCUAUGAAAGCUAAGCUAGCGGUGCUCAUCUGAUAAUGUCCAGAAAAUGGCGACUGCAAUAUUUCUCCAGUAAUUUAUUCCUGCAAACAUUAUUUCCUCACAUGCCACCGUGUGCCAGAGAGGGCUCUUUCAUCAGCUAUUCAAAGGCAAGUACUGGCUUACAGAUAAAGAGGAGGAAUGCUGAAACCAGUUCUCCCGGGAUUGAGGCCCAGCUGUACCACCUCUUAGAAGUGUGACCUUGGGCCAAGUUGUUUAACUUCUCUCUCUCUCUUCUUUUUUUUUCCUUUUUCUUCUUGGUUAGUUAAGUGAAGCAGUGGGGGUGGGGAAGGAACAAACAAAUCUGUACCUGGCUGUGAUCAAUGAAUUGUAAACACUGUUGCACUCAGACCAGCCAACCUCUCUUUACUUUGGUUUCCUCAUCAGUAAACAAGGAUGAUAACAGAAACUAGGUUAUAAAGAUCCUCCCCCGUGGCACUAAUCUUGUUUUAUAAUGAUAUAUUUGAUUAUCAUUUGCCAUAUCUCUAGGCUGCAGGACCUGGAUCUGUUUGGUCUCAUUAUUUUAGCUUCAAUGCCCGGCACAUAACAGUGUCAAUAAAUAUUUGUGAAAUAAAUAAAUGCCCCAACAAUUCAUAGGAUUUCAACAAUUAGGUCUUUAAAAGCCAGUAUAACAAGAACUCUUAUUUUUAAUGAGUUUGAUAAUGUCCCCCAAACCAUAGAACUUCUAGGUUUCAACUUGA